RNAcentral lists this unclassified non-coding RNA (360 nucleotides) under soil metagenome. Its description in RNAcentral is "partial contains 5.8S ribosomal RNA, internal transcribed spacer 2, and large subunit ribosomal RNA". The stretch from base 1 to 120 matches the Rfam family "5.8S ribosomal RNA", at positions 35 to 154 of the family's 154-position model. The record is from RNAcentral.
GAUGAAGAACGCAGCGAAAUGCGAUACGUAGUGUGAAUUGCAGAAUUCAGUGAAUCAUCGAAUCUUUGAACGCACAUUGCGCCCGCCAGUAUUCUGGCGGGCAUGCCUGUCUGAGCGUCGUUUCGACCCUCGCGCCCGGCUUCUGUCGGGGGCGGUGUUGGGGAUCGGCCACACCCUUCAGUGGGAGGCCGGCCCCUAAAUUCAGUGGCGACCACGCUGUAGCCUCCCCUGCGUAGUACUAAAACCACCUCGCAGGCGGAGAGCGGUGCGGCCCGCCGUAAAACCCCCCAACUUUUACAAGGUCGACCUCAGAUCAGGUAGGAAUACCCGCUGAACUUAAGCAUAUCAAUAAGCGGAGGA